GGUUCUUCUUCCCAGGAGCACAGUUCAUCAUUUUCCCCUACAGAAGAAUUUACAAAGACUGGAAAGAACAAGGCAGGGAGGACCAUGGAUCACUGAAGGCCUUAGGGAUGGAAAGAAGAGGAGACACAAGCAACACAACACAGUGGGUGCUAUAACAUGAGAAAUUUAUUUCUCGUGGUUGAUGGACUAGAAAGUCAAAGGUCAGGUCCAAGUUGACUUGUCCCCAGUGAAGGCUCUUCCUAUCCCUGGUUGGAAGAGAGCUGCCACCUCUCUGUAUGUGCAUAAGAACUUUCAUCUCAUCCUGUGUGGGAAGAGAAGCAGAGGGGAAAGAAGAAAGAAGAAACAAGAAAGAGGAGAGAUAGUCUCCUAUAAGGCUGCUAAGAAGGCCCUGUCAUCAUGUCAUGGAUUUUCAGUCACUCCCCAGAGCCCCCAUUGGAAAAGUGAUCGUAGCUUCAGCACAGGCUCUCAAGAGGACUCAACCAUCCAUCCAGGAGUCACUUACAUCUUACAAGUGUUGGGUGAUGCUCUGCUUACUUCCUUCAGUGACCAGUUUCACUGUCAUCACUGAAUCUAAACAACGUAUUUUAAAAGAGACAUGUUUUCUUUGUGUGCAUAACUCACAUAGAGAUAUAUAUGUGCAUACACAGAUGACUAUAUAAAUAUGUGAGUAAAUUCAUAAACUAUAAAAUGUAUCUAUACAUUAAUAAAUAGGGCUUGUUGGAAAUAGCUUUCAGAAAAAUCUAGAAAUAUUAUUCAAGAAGAUUUCAAAUAGAAAUGGAAAAUGUAAGGUAAUGUCUUGCUAUAUUGAAAAGUAUAUUUAUAUUAUUCUUUGUCUCAAGGAAAGGAGGUUUCUUUUGUUUUGUUUUGUUUUUUAAGGGUUCUUUCCAAUUCCUUUGAAACUAGAAUUACAGGCAGUUGUGAGCCACUUGGCAUGGGUGCUGGGAACCAAACUUAGAUACUCUGGAAGAGCAGCAAGAGUUCUUUACUGCUGAGCCAUCUUCAGCCCAGAAGGGCAGACUCUUCAAACCAUUUUUUGAAAUAUAUGGAUACACACAUUUUGUCUGCUAAUUCAUCUGUUUAAUAUAUUUUGUUGUUUU
Molecule: long non-coding RNA, 1097 nt
Filed under: Mus caroli (Ryukyu mouse)
Lineage: Eukaryota; Metazoa; Chordata; Mammalia; Rodentia; Muridae
Description: lncRNA (MGP_CAROLIEiJ_G0006352.1)
Source: RNAcentral